This is a non-coding RNA of Caldibacillus debilis, 173 nucleotides long. The record is from Rfam. Lineage: Bacteria; Bacillati; Bacillota; Bacilli; Caryophanales; Bacillaceae.
UCCGCGGCGACGCGGAAUCUGAUGUUGCGGACGGCAAACCUUGGGUCUCUCGGAACACGAACUUCAUAGGAGGCUAGGUAUCAUUGGAUGAGUUUGCUAAACAAAACAAAGUCCUUUCUGCCGAAGGUGAUACCGAGUAAAUGAAGCAGACACAUGGAGGGAAAGAUUGCAUC